Molecule: ribosomal RNA, 305 nt
Filed under: uncultured bacterium
Lineage: Bacteria
Description: bacterial SSU rRNA
Rfam family: Bacterial small subunit ribosomal RNA
Source: RNAcentral
GCCUACGGGACGCAGCAACGCCGCGUGCAGGAAGAAGGUCUUCGGAUUGUAAACUGUUGUCGCAGGGGAAGAAGACAGUGACGGUACCCUGUGAGAAAGUCACGGCUAACUACGUGCCAGCAGCCGCGGUAAUACGUAGGUGACAAGCGUUGUCCGGAUUUACUGGGUGUAAAGGGCGCGUAGGCGGAUGUGCAAGUCAGUCGUGAAAUACCGGGGCUCAACCCCGGGGCUGCGAUUGAAACUGCACACCUUGAGUAUCGGAGAGGAAAGCGGAAUUCCUAGUGUAGCGGUGAAAUGCGUAGAUA